RNAcentral lists this long non-coding RNA (535 nucleotides) under Gossypium raimondii (Peruvian cotton). RNAcentral describes it as "long non-coding RNA (GRAI_LNC004602)". Lineage: Eukaryota; Viridiplantae; Streptophyta; Magnoliopsida; Malvales; Malvaceae. The record is from RNAcentral.
UCGAAUGGUAGAUAAAUUGAUAGGUGCAUAGCGGUGAUAAGGAAAGAAAGGGCACUGUUCUGCAGUGAGGGAAACGGCGAGACCACAGUGACUUCACGAGGUCUAAGAUCAAUGGUGACGACGGUUGGCAAUGGUGGCGACGAUAUGGUGUUAAAGAGUUAGGGUUUUUUGUGUGGAGAAGAUGAGAAAACUAAGGGAAAGGGAAAGGAAGGGUGGAGGGGUUUGGGGGUUUUCUUUGUUUCUCUUUUUUUCUUGUCCGUUUGGGACUUCUUUUUUUCUUUUUCUCUUCCUAGGCCUGUUUGGCCAUUUGGCCCAUUUCUUCUCUCUUUCUUUUUUUCUUUUGGGUUUCGUUGGGCUUGUUGGGGUUUUGGGUAUUUGGGUCUAUUUUUUGGUUUUGGGUAAUUGGUUUUUAUUUAGGUGUUGGGUUGGUAUUGAGCAUGGGGUUUUUAUUUGGGUUAGGGGUGUUGGGUGCUAGUUUGUGAAGAAAAUAAAUAGCACUUAGCACGGUGUGCCUAAGCCCCGAUCGAUAUCCAAU